GGUGCUGACUCUUGCCUUUGCUUCCCCAACUGACAGUUAGUAAAACAUGGGCCUGCGAUGAACAAAACCUCCAGAGAGGAACCGUAUAUUUCAAGCAUUUUUUGUCUCUGAAAAGAAGCCUGGAGUCCAGAAACUUCUGUGACGUAUGUUUAUCAUCUCAGUCUUUGUGCUGAUUGGACCUGGGUGACCGUGGACCUGCAUGAUUGGGAAGAAACACAAUCAGCUUUUCAGACAUGUCUACACCUGGAAAGCUUCACAAAAGAGUUUUUUCUCUUUGGCUUCCUUUCUGAACCGUUUUUGUUGUAGAGCUCCAGGCAGAAGCAGCUCUGAGCGAAACUGGGCACAAGGGAAAUUUCUCUCUGACAUUUUCCCACCUUUUCCAUCUGGAUCCUCUCUUCCUGCCCUCCACUCCCUCCAGCCUCCUCCACUUCCAAUACUGAAUUCCAACCACAGGCACAGGAUUUCUGACAGUUAAAAAUCAUUUCCCCUUCCAGAAAGAUGAAGGAUCACGUUUCCCCCUUCUGCCCAACUGCAGCCAUCUGGGAGCAUAGCGUUGCAUAUUGUUCUUCCUGUGCAGUGUUGAAAUAAGUUUCUUGGCCCAAGAUGGAGCUGCUUCUGCCCAGGGUGCCAUGUCAGCAAAGCAAAACUUAGACAACUUUUGUGUCCCUGGAAAUGUUCCACUUGAUCAGAAAGGUGGUUCCCCAAACACGAAGCCAACUCUGGGGUCUCUACUUACUUCCUUGUUCCUUCUUUAGCCUACAAAAGCUUCCUGCAUUCCGCCCCAUUUUGACGUUCUGACUGUUCACUUCAUGAAGUAUCAAAUAAAGUUUGUUUGUAUCACCUAA
Molecule: long non-coding RNA, 845 nt
Organism: Lagenorhynchus albirostris (white-beaked dolphin)
Lineage: Eukaryota; Metazoa; Chordata; Mammalia; Artiodactyla; Delphinidae
Exons: 2
Source: RefSeq, a predicted model, not a curated record